GCCUGGGUGGCUCAGUCAGUUGAGCAUCUGACUUCGGCUCAGGUCACGAUCUCACGGUUCGCGAGUUGGAGCCCCGCCUCAGGCU
Felis catus (domestic cat) is the source of this 85-nucleotide transfer RNA. It matches the Rfam family "tRNA". From Rfam's summary of the family: Transfer RNA (tRNA) molecules are approximately 80 nucleotides in length. The record is from Rfam. Lineage: Eukaryota; Metazoa; Chordata; Mammalia; Carnivora; Felidae.